Molecule: ribosomal RNA, 252 nt
Filed under: uncultured microorganism
Description: partial 16S ribosomal RNA
Rfam family: Bacterial small subunit ribosomal RNA
Source: RNAcentral
UACGUAGGUCCCGAGCGUUGUCCGGAUUUAUUGGGCGUAAAGCGAGCGCAGGUGGUUUAAUAAGUCUGAAGUAAAAGGCAGUGGCUCAACCAUUGUGUGCAUUGGAAACUGUUAGACUUGAGUGCAGUAGAGGAGAGUGGAAUUCCAUGUGUAGCGGUGAAAUGCGUAGAUAUAUGGAGGAACACCGGUGGCGAAAGCGGCUCUCUGGACUGUAACUGACACUGAGGCUCGAAAGCGUGGGUAGCAAACAGG